Long non-coding RNA from Pecten maximus, 319 nucleotides. RefSeq lists it as uncharacterized. NCBI's taxonomy places the organism in Eukaryota, Metazoa, Mollusca, Bivalvia, Pectinida, Pectinidae. The record is from RefSeq and is a predicted model, not a curated record. The transcript has 4 exons.
GAAAUAUCAGUCCGGAUACCGUUUUCCUCCUUUUCAAUUGCACCAUUCAGCAUGGACAAACUGCAGCCAGUAAAGUUAGCCAAAAGUUACAAAGGUGCUUGGACGCACAGGAUCACAGGGACAAUGUACCCAGGUGCGUGUGGAGUUUCUCGAUGACAGCAACCGUUCCAUCAUCAGGAACGUGAAGGGCCCAGUGCGUGAGGGUGAUAUCCUAACUCUGUUGGAGUCUGAGAGAGAGGCUAGAAGAUUGCGCUGAGUCUGGUCUUGUAUAUAUGACAUAGGGGCCUGGAAGAAAAAGGAGAUGACAAGGAAACUUGAA